CACACGCACAGAGGAAGAAACACCUAUCCUCAGGAGAAGUCAGUGGCAGCAACAUACAGAUCACCGUCACGGACAGUGGAUGAGGAUGGACUGACCUGGAAGUCCGUAUAUAAUCUAUGAUGAGCUGUGGUCCCACGCCUAUACUACACACUAACCGUAUACGGGAAUAACAGCCGGAGUACAUCCAGACCCCUCACGUCCCACAGUCAUGUCACCAUGUGUUCCCGCAAUGAUCGCCAGGGGAGAGGCUCUGGCCGGGUGGAGAUCCUUUCUGGUGGUGCGUGUUCUCUCUGCAGGACCGUGAGGGGGGCCCCGGCACUGUGAUCAGGGGCCAGGCCAAAUUCUGUUUGAAAUGUGAAUGGGCUAAUUUUCAUCAGCCUCCCUCAUGCUAGGGGAGGUCCCAGGUGCCACAGCAUGCCAAGGGUCAUCAUUAGAAGA
Molecule: long non-coding RNA, 438 nt
Organism: Centropristis striata (black sea bass)
Lineage: Eukaryota; Metazoa; Chordata; Actinopteri; Perciformes; Serranidae
Exons: 3
Source: RefSeq, a predicted model, not a curated record